Molecule: non-coding RNA, 198 nt
Filed under: Acidobacteriota bacterium
Lineage: Bacteria; Pseudomonadati; Acidobacteriota
Description: 6S RNA
Rfam family: 6S / SsrS RNA
About the family: E. coli 6S RNA was the first non coding RNA to be sequenced, but its function was unknown until recently. It consists of 184 nucleotides that fold into an extended hairpin structure with a large single-stranded internal bulge.
Source: RNAcentral
GCAGCACUGCGAGGCAUGUGCAAGUGCGUUACUUUUGAGCUAAUGCUUUUAACAUGGGGGACCGAUUGACAUUCCGGUGUGCAGGCUCUGUUGGCCCGCGACGGCGCGGAAUGGCAGAGAAGCCUAAAGGGAUACGUUGGACCUCCGCCCGUAUUACGCGGGUUCAAAAGUAGUUCACCCACGGUCAAGCGGUCUGCU